AUUGACAUUGGUUCUGUUCAGGCUGAUGUGUGUCCAGAUGGACAUUGGUUCUGUUCAGGCUGAGUGCUGAUGUGUGUCCAGACAGACAUUGGUUCUGUUCAGGCUGAUUGCUGAUGUGUGUCCAGAUGGACAUUAUUUACAUGUCAGUUUAUUUCAAUGAUGAUUCCCAUCAAGAGAUACGAUCUCUUGAUUUGACCGAGUGUCUCUACAAGGGGUGGUGUGUCUCUACAAGGGGUGGUGUGUAUGAAGACAUGUAACGUAUACGAAAUAGGUUUUAAGUGAAGAAAGUGAUUUACAAGGAAUGAAUUAUGAUCUGCAUCCUAAAUGGCACCAUAUUCCCUACGUAGUGCACUUCUUUUGAACAGGACCCAUAGGGCUCUGGUCAAAAGUAGUGCACUAUAUAGGGAAUAGGUAUUGGUACGCAGCCAUGAUGAAAGGUAGGAAUCUAAACUGUUGUUUUGCUCAUAUGAUGUACGAAGGAAGAAACUAGAAGUUGAGUGACACAGUGUCCAUUUUUAUUUUCCUUAUAAACACCUAGAACUGAGGAAACAGACCAGCUCACUAAAAGUUGUUCUUCUCUUCAACAUAAAUAUGCAGACUUCCUUUGAAAACGGAAUCACAACGCAAACAAGUGUGCGUCGGAAAUGUCACCCUAUUCCCUACGUAGUGCACUACUUUUGACCAGGGCUCUGGUGCACUAGGGAUCAGGAUGGCAUUUCAGACAGGUUCAGAGUCAUUUUGUAAAUACAUUUUUUUCAGACUCAAGUGACUGCAAAUUGUGUCUUUUCUCUCGCAACCACAAAACAUGAGGGACAAUCUUCACAACAUCAACAAAGGAAAAGAUGAGGCAACACCAUGUUUUCUUAAAGCAUUUCCAAUAAUAUGAAACCGAAACAGUUAUUUUGUGUUAAUAAUACAGUUUUAUCCAGCAAAUAAAAAGCACUUUGGUCAUCUUCACACAGACUGAGCCACGGCAAAAAGUACCAAAGCAAUAACAACUACAAUGGUUUGUGUGACAUUGAAACACGUAACAUUGUUUCCGUACACUACUUUAAAGUGCACAUGUUCAGGCAUUCCGAACUGUAGCGACGAACAUCGACUGUGUGAACAGCGACUAAGACCUGGGACCUCUUCGUUCCAACUAUAAUACAAACACGUUGUGUGUUGCGCUACGAGUUAUUGCUUGAAAUACAGUCUAACCAUUGAAUUAACUCAAAUGCGCUGUGAGAAAACCACGUAACGUAAAACAGUAAACGAGGGAAGGAGGGCGAGAAAAAGCAACAUGUUGACGAGGUUGUGAUGACGGCUGCAACGUAAAACAGUAAACGAGGGAAGGAGGGCGAGAAAAAGCAACAUGUUGACGAGGUUGUGAUGACGGCUGCAACGUAAAACAGUAAACGAGGGAAGGAGGGCGAGAAAAAGCAACAUGUUGACGAGGUUGUGAUGACGGCUGCAACGUAAAACAGUAAACGAGGGAAGGAGGGCGAGAAAAAGCAACAUGUUGACGAGGUUGUGAUGACGGCUCACAGGCCUGAAUAGCAGUAUUUCAACCAGACUGCACACGUCACUGUGUCUGGUUUACAAAAUAGGGUUGGGAGUACAGAAGCCAAUACUGAAUGGUAUCACCAUAAAAGGUCGCGACCCCACUCCCUCAGGGUCUCAGUAUGUAAGAAACACAUUUCCAUUACAGACUUGUACAAGUGUGUACCAGGACAAACAUAAACACCUCCCCCCAAAUGAUCAUUAUACGAGUAACAUAGUUAACAAUGUUCAGCCACACACCGUUUUGCUAGCGGGCCUGGAUGUCUCAAUUUCACAUAUAGAAUACUAACCCAGAUAUGUUGGCUAGGUUUACAUAUUCCCAGCCAGUACAGUACAUCCCUUCUAGCCAAUACAGUACUGUACCUCUCAUCUAGCCAGUACUGUACCUCUCAUCUAGCCAGUACAGUACCUCUCAUCUAGCCAGUACAGUACCUCUCAUCUAGCCAGUACAGUACCUCCCAUCUAGCCAGUACAGUACCUCCCAUCUAGCCAAUACAGUACAGUACCUCCCAUCUAGCCAGUACAGUACUGUACCUCCCAUCUAGCCAGUACAGUACCUCCCAUCUAGCCAGUACAGUACCUCCCAUCUAGCCAAUACAGUACA
Molecule: long non-coding RNA, 2146 nt
Organism: Oncorhynchus tshawytscha (Chinook salmon)
Lineage: Eukaryota; Metazoa; Chordata; Actinopteri; Salmoniformes; Salmonidae
Source: Ensembl